GAAUUCUACAGAGAGAGAGAAAAGAGAGAGAAAAGAGAGUGGGGGGAAGUGAGUCGAAUCACCGAUUCCGUCAAGUCCGCUUCCUCUCUUUUCUUUCCCUCCUUGAAAAAACACACCCGGAUCCACUCACCUCAUUGCACCCGCGAAUUUCGAUUUAUUCUCCAUAGAGAUAUGCAAUCUGGACAGAGAAAGUAGAGAGGGAGAGAGGGGGAUUUAUUACUGUGAGCUUGUAUUUUUAGAACGUUGGGAUCGGAGGGUAAAAGUGGGUUUUGCUAAAAACAUUUGGAGGGAUUUUUGUUUUUUAGUUGUUGGGGUUUUUGCUUUUCUAGGGUAAAUUCAAUUUCUGCAAGGCACCAGUGUGGUAAAUUUCGGGUUCAAUUGCAUGCAAUCUGGGGGCGGAGGAGGUGGUGGGCCCAGCCGGAAUCCUGGAAUGGGACCGGCUGGUCGGGCCCCGUCAACAUCAUCUGCUGCAUCUCCUUCUUCUUCAUCGUCCGCUGUUUCUCAGCCGCACCUUGGUUUUGAUUCAGUGCAGCAGCAGCAGCAGCAGCAACAGCAACACAUAGGGUCUAGGCAGGUAAG
This 579-nucleotide long non-coding RNA is filed under the name Carica papaya (papaya). RNAcentral describes it as "long non-coding RNA (CPAP_LNC011823)". Lineage: Eukaryota; Viridiplantae; Streptophyta; Magnoliopsida; Brassicales; Caricaceae. The record is from RNAcentral.